CAGGGCAAAGUGAGGCAACCUCUGGGGGCCCUGCGCAGCCCCCCGGUUGGGUGUGGGGGGCUAAACUUGGGCCCCCGAAGUGAGAUCCCUGGCUGUGCUGACUGUGGGGGAGUCAUGGGGGGUGCCGGCCCCCACGUUCAUGAUUGGGGAUCCGAACGGAUAGAACCCUGUGGCAUCAGCUGCAGUACCCGGCAAAGUCCUCAGGUGACUUGUGAGGCUCGUAUCCCUGCAACAGAGACUACUCCAGCUGCAGGAGUGAAUGUCGUUGUAGUGGUUGACGGAAACUGCAUCCUCCAGUAUACCCAUCGUCAGUCACCUUGCUCCUGCCUUUCGGAUGGGGAGCCUCUCUUG
This 351-nucleotide long non-coding RNA is filed under the name Pogona vitticeps (central bearded dragon). RNAcentral's name for it is "lncRNA (ENSPVIG00000000843.1)". The record is from RNAcentral. Lineage: Eukaryota; Metazoa; Chordata; Lepidosauria; Squamata; Agamidae.